This is a long non-coding RNA of Alligator sinensis (Chinese alligator), 448 nucleotides long. RefSeq lists it as uncharacterized. The transcript has 3 exons. NCBI's taxonomy places the organism in Eukaryota, Metazoa, Chordata, Crocodylia, Alligatoridae. The record is from RefSeq and is a predicted model, not a curated record.
GCUACUUCAUGUGAAUACAAACAGUCUGAAGGAGCUUUUGAAUUCUUUACAAACCUGCAUCUGGAACACAAUGAAUUGGAAACCUUAAAAGAUGGAUUGUAUUUCCAAAACAUGAGCACAAAUGUGAAUAUUCAAGCAAAUAGAAAGAAUGAAUCAGCCACUUUCCUGGAAUCUGAUGUUAUGCCACAGGGGUGCAGAAUUUGAUGGCAUUAAACAAACAGUGACAACAGAAACAGAAUGCCUUUAUAAUGCUCAUCACUGUGCCAGCUAUUCAGGUCCUGGCAAAGGCCCUGGUCACCAACCCAUGAAAUUAAUGAACUUUCAUCUCUGCCUCCACUGAGUAUACUAUUUUAUUCUGGCUAAGAAAAGUGGCUCUCCAGCUGGACAUAGGGCUAUAUUACUUUACAUUUUCGGGAAGAUGCCACAGAACAAUGUAAAAAUAAAAUAU